CAGUCUCGGCAAUGGAUAUCUUAGCUCUCACAUCGAUGAAGAAUAUAUUGAUAUGCGAUACUUGGUGUGAAUUGUAUAAUCCCGUGAACCAUCGAGUCUUUGAACGCAAGUUGCGCCCGAAGCCAUUAGGCCGAGGGUACGUCUGCCUGGGCGUCA
RNAcentral lists this ribosomal RNA (156 nucleotides) under Solanum tuberosum (potato). RNAcentral describes it as "rRNA 5_8S_rRNA". It matches the Rfam family "5.8S ribosomal RNA". From Rfam's summary of the family: 5.8S ribosomal RNA (5.8S rRNA) is a component of the large subunit of the eukaryotic ribosome. The record is from RNAcentral. Lineage: Eukaryota; Viridiplantae; Streptophyta; Magnoliopsida; Solanales; Solanaceae.